CGCGGCCUAUCAGCUUGUUGGCGGGGUAACGGCCCACCAAGGCAACGACGGGUAGCUGGUUUGAGAGAACGAUCAGCCACACUGGGACUGAGACACGGCCCAGACUCCUACGGGAGGCAGCAGUGGGGAAUCUUGCGCAAUGGGCGAAAGCCUGACGCAGCAACGCCGCGUGCGGGAUGAAGGCCUUCGGGUUGUAAACCGCUUUCAGCAGGGACGAAAAUGACGGUACCUGCAGAAGAAGCUCCGGCUAACUACGUGCCAGCAGCCGCGGUAAUACGUAGGGGGCAAGCGUUGUCCGGAUUUAUUGGGCGUAAAGAGCUCGUAGGCGGUUCCGUAAGUCGCAAAGUCAAAUCUCUGGGCUCAACCCAGAGUCGCUUUCGAUACUGCGGUGACUAGAGUCCGGUAGGGGAGUGUGGAAUUCCUGGUGUAGCGGUGAAAUGCGCAGAUAUCAGGAGGAACACCGGUGGCGAAGGCGGGUCUCUGGGCAGUAACUGACGCUGAGGAGCGAAAGCGUGGGGAGCGAACAGGAUUAGAUACCCUGGUAGUCCACGCCGUAAAUGGUGGGUACUAGAUGUGGGAUUCCUUCCUUGGGUUCCGUGUCGUAGCUAACGCAUUAAGUACCCCGCCUGGGGAGUACGGA
This 640-nucleotide ribosomal RNA is filed under the name uncultured Actinomycetes bacterium. RNAcentral's name for it is "bacterial SSU rRNA". It matches the Rfam family "Bacterial small subunit ribosomal RNA", at positions 232 to 886 of the family's 1533-position model. Lineage: Bacteria; Bacillati; Actinomycetota; Actinomycetes. The record is from RNAcentral.